This 325-nucleotide ribosomal RNA is filed under the name uncultured bacterium. RNAcentral's name for it is "bacterial SSU rRNA". It matches the Rfam family "Bacterial small subunit ribosomal RNA", at positions 28 to 334 of the family's 1533-position model. The record is from RNAcentral.
GAUGAACGCUGGCGGCGUGCCUAACACAUGCAAGUCGAACGGGGUUAUUUUGGAAAGUCCUUCGGACUGGAAUCUAUAACCUAGUGGCGGACGGGUGAGUAACGCGUGAGCAAUCUGCCUUUAGGGGGGGAGUAACAGUCGGAAACGGCUGCUAAUACCGCAUAAUGCAUCAAUUUCGCAUGUUAUUGAUGCCAAAGGAGCAAUCCGCCUUUAGAUGAGCUCGCGUCUGAUUAGCUAGUUGGUGAGGUAACCGGCCCACCAAGGCGACGAUUGGUAGCCGGACUGAGAGGUUGAACGGCCACAUUGGGACUGAGACACGGCCCAG